GCGAGAAAUAUAAAGUUGUUGUUAUGCCUCUUUGAACAAUUAUCGGGGUUAAAGAUUAAUUUUCAUAAGAGCGAAUUGUUCUGCUUUGGUAGGGCUAAAGAUGAACAGGACUCUUAUAGGCAACUGUUUGGGUGCGAGUUGGGAAGUCUGCCCUUUUCCUACCUUGGCAUUCCGAUUCAUCAUCGUAGGCUAACAAACAGAGAGUGGAAGUGUAUCGAGGAUCGAUUUGAAAAGAAACUGAGCUGCUGGAAGGGUAAGCUCAUGUCAUAUGGAGGCCGGUUAGUUUUGAUAAACUCGGUACUCACGAGUAUGCCUAUGUUCCUCUUAUCGUUCUUUGAAGUUCCAGUGGGAGUGAGGAAAAGACUGGACUUCUAUCGAUCACGCUUCUUUUGGCAGGGUGAUGAGCUUAAAAGAAAAUACCGGCUUGCUAAGUGGGAUAUCAUCUGUCGACCCAAAGACCAAGGCGGGCUUGGCAUUGAGAAUCUUGAGGUUAAGAACAGAUGCCUUCUUAGUAAGUGGUUGUGGAAGCUC
RNAcentral lists this ribosomal RNA (531 nucleotides) under Triticum aestivum (bread wheat). RNAcentral's name for it is "partial small subunit ribosomal RNA". The record is from RNAcentral. Lineage: Eukaryota; Viridiplantae; Streptophyta; Magnoliopsida; Poales; Poaceae.